Molecule: ribosomal RNA, 495 nt
Filed under: uncultured eukaryote
Lineage: Eukaryota
Description: bacterial SSU rRNA
Rfam family: Eukaryotic small subunit ribosomal RNA
Source: RNAcentral
CGAGACGGCGGGGUAGAGGCCCGCCGCGGUAACGACGGGUAACGGGGAAUCAGGGUUCGAUUCCGGAGAGGGAGCCCCGAGAAAACGGCUACCACUUCCAAGGAAGGCAGCAGGCGCGCAACUUACCCCUAAUCUCGAUUCGAGGAGGUAGUGACAAGAAAUACCGAUGCGGGACCCUACGGGGUGCCGCGUUCGGAAUGAGUACGAUUCGAACCACCUAACGAGGAACGAUCGGAGGGCAAGUCUGGUGCCAGCAGCCGCGGUAAUUCCAGCUCCAAUAGCGUACGUUAAAGUUGCUGCAGUUAAAAAGCUCGUAGUUGAACGUUCGGGUUCCGCGGGACGGGGCCGCCCCGCGAGGGACGGCGCCGCCCCGGGGCUCGUGAUAUCUCAUCUCGCCGCCCGUCGCGAGGCGGACGGAGGGAUGGAUGAGGUUACCUGGAAAAAAUCGGGGCGAUCUAGGCGGGCGAACCUCGCCAACGAACGAUCGGACAUGGG